GAGGGGUAAGGUUCAGCUUGCUGAACACACGACCGGCGGACGGGUGAGUAACGCGUUUGCAACCUACCCUUAACAGGAGGAUAGCUUCCGGAAACGGAAAUUAAUACUUCAUAAUAUUCUUACAGGGCAUCCUGUUUGAAUCAAAGCUCAGGCGGUUAAGGAUGGGCAUGCGUGACAUUAGCUUGUUGGUGAGGUAACGGCUCACCAAGGCUACGAUGUCUAGGGGGUCUGAGAGGAUGAUCCCCCACACUGGUACUGAGACACGGACCAGACUCCUACGGGAGGCAGCAGUGAGGAAUAUUGGGCAAUAGACGCAAGUCUGACCCAGCCAUGCCGCGUGCAGGAUGAAGGCCCUAUGGGUUGUAAACUGCUUUUGUACAGGAAGAAACCCCCGAGUUCUCGGGGGUUGACGGUACUGUGCGAAUAAGCAUCGGCUAACUCCGUGCCAGCAGCCGCGGUAAUACGGAGGAUGCAAGCGUUAUCCGGAUUCAUUGGGUUUAAAGGGUGUGUAGGCGGGGCAAUAAGUCAGUGGUGAAAUCUUUCGGCUUAACCGGAAAACUGUCAUUGAUACUGUUGUUCUUGAGUUCAGUUGAGGUGGGCGGAAUGUGUAAUGUAGCGGUGAAAUGCAUAGAUAUUACACAGAACACCGAUUGCGAAGGCAGCUCACUAAACUGUUACUGACGCUGAGGCACGAAAGCGUGGGGAGCGAACAGGAUUAGAUACCCUGGUAGUCCACGCUGUCAACUAUGAAUACUCGAUGUGUGCGACAUAUUGUACGCGUCUAAGCAAAAGCAUUAAGUAUUCCACCUGGGGAGUACGGCCGCAAGGCUGAAACUCAAAGGAAUUGACGGGGGCCCGCACAAGCGGAGGAACAUGUGGUUUAAUUCGAUGAUACGCGAGGAACCUUACCUGGGCUUAAAUGCAGAUCGACACUCCGGGAAACCGGGGUUCCCUUCGGGGCGAACUGCAAGGUGCUGCAUGGCUGUCGUCAGCUCGUGCCGUGAGGUGUCGGGUUAAGUCCCAUAACGAGCGCAACCCCUAUUGUUAGUUGCCAACGGAUAAUGCCGGGGACUCUAACGAAACUGCCAGUGUAAACUGCGAGGAAGGUGGGGAUGACGUCAAGUCAGCACGGCCCUUAUGUCCAGGGCUACACACGUGUUACAAUGGCCAGUACAAAGGGCAGCUACCUGGUGACAGGAUGCAAAUCUCUAAAACUGGUCUUAGUUCGGAUCGAAGUCUGCAACUCGACUUCGUGAAGCUGGAUUCGCUAGUAAUCGCGCAUCAGCCACGGCGCGGUGAAUACGUUCCCGGGCCUUGUACACACCGCCCGUCAAGCCAUGGAAGCCGG
Molecule: ribosomal RNA, 1348 nt
Filed under: uncultured Bacteroidota bacterium
Lineage: Bacteria; Pseudomonadati; Bacteroidota
Description: uncultured Bacteroidetes bacterium 16S ribosomal RNA
Rfam family: Bacterial small subunit ribosomal RNA
Source: RNAcentral